RNAcentral lists this transfer RNA (87 nucleotides) under Chromatiales bacterium. Its description in RNAcentral is "tRNA-Leu". It matches the Rfam family "tRNA". Rfam says of the family: Transfer RNA (tRNA) molecules are approximately 80 nucleotides in length. Their secondary structure includes four short double-helical elements and three loops (D, anti-codon, and T loops). The record is from RNAcentral. Lineage: Bacteria; Pseudomonadati; Pseudomonadota; Gammaproteobacteria; Chromatiales.
GCCGGUGUGGCGGAAUUGGUAGACGCACGGGACUCAAAAUCCCGCGGCCGCAAGGUCAUGUGGGUUCGACCCCCUCCACCGGCACCA